Molecule: long non-coding RNA, 257 nt
Filed under: Vigna radiata
Lineage: Eukaryota; Viridiplantae; Streptophyta; Magnoliopsida; Fabales; Fabaceae
Description: long non-coding RNA (VRAD_LNC008237)
Source: RNAcentral
AAAGAAGAAGAAGAGCGAGAGAUGUUGGAAGAGGAAGCAAAAAUAGAAGAAGUGGUUGUUAAGAAAAACAUAGAGGAGAUAGAAAUGAAAAAUUUGAAUAAGAAUGAGAAGAAAGAUGAGGAAGGAAAAGCCAUGGUUGAAAAAAGUAAAAGAAAGAAAAGAAAAAAAUUGAAAAUAAAGAAAAGGAGGAAAAAGAAAAAGAGAAGGUCAAUGAAGGAGAAACUUAAGAGAAAGAGGAAGAGAGAAAAGAAAAAAAA